RNAcentral lists this unclassified non-coding RNA (376 nucleotides) under soil metagenome. RNAcentral's name for it is "partial contains 5.8S ribosomal RNA, internal transcribed spacer 2, and large subunit ribosomal RNA". The stretch from base 1 to 120 matches the Rfam family "5.8S ribosomal RNA", at positions 35 to 154 of the family's 154-position model. The record is from RNAcentral.
GAUGAAGAACGCAGCGAAAUGCGAUAAGUAAUGUGAAUUGCAGAAUUCAGUGAAUCAUCGAAUCUUUGAACGCAUCUUGCGCUCCUUGGUAUUCUGAGGAGCAUGCCUGUUUGAGUGUCAUUAAAUUCUCAACUACACUGACUUUGAAUUGGUGUGGCUUGGAUUUGGGGGGAAAAUUGUUGUGGGCUUUUUGUAUAGUCUGCUCCCCUGAAAUUGAUUAGCGGUACCUUUGUGGAACUGUCUACAGGUGUGAUAAUUAUCUACAUCUUAGACAUCUGCUGGAAUGCUGCUUUCUAAACCUUACUUGUAUUGACAAUCUUGACCUCAAAUCAGGUAGGACUACCCGCUGAACUUAAGCAUAUCGAUAAGCGGAGGA